CAGGCCGCAGACCCCAGAAGCGCUGGAUCUUGUCCUCUGGGCCAAUGUCAAGACAGUGAGGGAGCGCAUGCAAAAGAAGAAGCUAGCUGAAGGGGCUCAGUGAUCCUUCACGGCAUCUGGGGCAGGACCGACGGACGAGUCACUGUCCUCACCCCCACUAAGUAUCCAGACCCAAAUUACUGGGCCAACCCAACCCAGUGCAAACUAACACCCCACCAUACUUCCCAGGGGACAGAACUACCCCAGGUUCUCAUGAUCUGUCCCCUCCCCUUCCGAGGCGGCGGCCUUCCCCGCCAGAUUCCAGGUCCCCCCCUUCCCUAACUGCUCGGGCAUCCUAGAGCCUACACCACUGAGAGGCGAGGGCAGGGGCCAGAGCAGGGGUGCCCGGUGGAGGAGAGGGGCCUUAGCACCACACAGGGUCUGCCUCUUACCGGCUCUGCAUUUGCUCUGAGUCAGCACGUGACCGAGUUUCUUUUUAAGGCCGGUUGGCACACCAGGGCAUCCCCUUAGCACCCAGGUAUCUCAGCGAGCCUCACUUCCCAUGUGCAUCAAAACGGAACCACCACCUGCCGCACCGGGUUGGCCAGGCUCUCAGGAGGUCACGCACGUUUACAUCAAGUGCCUGACACCCCCUCGCCACCCUCCGGAGGCAGCCUUUCCGAUUACAGUGGCCCUGGGCAGACAGGGGAGGUGUGUGGGGGGGGAUUACAUUCAGGUCCCCCCACCCAUGAUCUGGUGGUUUUUGUUCAGAAGCCAGUGAAUCAGCAGUCCUGUUAGUGCCGGAAGAUCAUGCUUUGUCUGCCGUGAAUGCUGUGUAAAUAUCGACGCUGUGUCACCGGCCGGGGCGGGAGAACCAGGGCCGACGGAGGGGUGUGCAGGGAUGCAGGGGAGGGGGCUGAGCCCGCUGCAGCCCCGGGGCAGGGCAGGAAGGAAGGAGGGCUCUCCGGGAGGGGAGUCGCAGGAGGCUGACGGAAAGCAGUUACUUGCUGGGCAGGAAAGAGAAGUGGCCAGGAGCUCAGCUUCAUGCCCAGGAGUAGUAACAAAGACAAGAUCUAGCAAACUCCAGGAGCCCGAAGCCACUGCUCCCCCUGGCUUCUCUUCUCUGCUCCUUCUCCUUGGCUGCUAUCCCAUUUUCAGGCCGGCCUGGAGAGGGAAGGUGGCCGAGGAGGAGGCUCGGUCCAGGCACGUGGUGGCGCGUCUGUCAUCUAAAGGGCAGGAGGGGCCGCUCUGGAACAGCACGCAUCAGGAAGCACGGGGUCACAGUUCUCCCAGCCCUGUGGGGUGCCAGGUGCCGGGCGGCUCAUGCACUUGCCCAAGGUCACUCUAGUCCAUGGCAGGGCCAUUUCCCGGGGCCCUUCUCCCACACCUCCCUGCCUCCUGCGCCUGCUUCCAUCUCUGACCUACUUUUCCCAAGACAAUUGAGAAACGAAUGACCGAAGCUGCAGGCCUAGGCUUGUGAAGGCUUGUGAAGGCUUGUGAAGGCUUGGGAUGGCUGUUCAACGUGAGAGCAUCUGGACCUUUUUUUUUUUUUUUAAGCAACGAGAAAAAUUCCACUGACAGAGCCUUGCUGUUAAAUUGGUGUGGAUGCUGCUGAAGGCUCGCUGUCCCCUCUGUGUUCAUCUCCCUGUGGAGCCAUCACCGAGCCUCUCAGGAACCAGGCUUCCUGCGUGGGCCACUUUCUGAGGGCCGCUGCCUAGAGCCCCAUGAGAUACACCCCGUCAGCCCCCACAUCAGUGGGACACCGCCACUUCCAGAGACAAAGACUCGCAUUGGGGUCCCAGUGAAGAAGCAAGACUCCUCCCCAGAGGACAGAGCAGCCUGCUUGACAAGAACAGAGGGGUCCUCUUUCCCAAAAGCACUGGAUGUCAAAACAGAGGGGUCUUGGGUGGGGGCAGAAGCCUCUGGGAAUCCGGACAGGAGUGAACAUUUCCCAGCAGAAACUUUUCCUGGCAAGAGAACUGGAGAGGAAGAGACCCUUCCCUCACAGCUUCAGGAGGAACCAGCCCUGCCCACAUCUUGAUGUCAGAUUUCUAACCACCGGAACUGUGAGAAAAUAAAUUUUGCCAGCAGUGAAAUAAGGGGCGAGCCUGCGAUCCCCAAGACUCAGCCUGAUUGUGUUCUGAGCCUUCAGUAUGGUUGCAGGAAUGAUGCAUCACAAAACGAAACAAAUUAGUCCUUGGGACAGAUGACCCAGGGGCAAAUCAGCCACCACAACAAAAAAGACAAGCGUUCAAACCAACAAGAGAAGAUUGUAAUGCCUUCCUAACAACGUUGCUUUAUUGAUGCAAUGCAAGGAAAACUACAUUAGAUUCUAUUGAUUCUCUUUGAGAUCUAAUAAUAUGCUUUACUCAGAUCUUAUUCACGUACCACUUCCUCCACGGUCUUUCUCAGGAGCUGAAAUUGGCCAGUUACAAACAGAAUUUGUUCUCCUGUCCUUUGAAAUCACAGAAGUGGACGUGUUUUAGAACACAAAAGAUACUAAGCUUUCUCAGGGAAACAAAGCAGCUGGAAGAAAAAAAAAAAUCUCCCUCUAAACAAAAUUGAAAGCAUGCCUUACUUUAGAUUUAUUUGAUUACAAAGUCUUUCUCGGAGCUAAUCAGUUUUAGAACCGGUUCCUAUUGGCACCAAUGAGCCAAUAAAAAAUCCAGGAGAGAAGAAGUAUCACAACAACUCAAGGAAACAAGGUUGUUCAUUUUUUUAAAAAUGAAUUUUUUAAAAAAAUUGAAUUAAUGCCUAUGCCGCUGAGUCAAAUUAUUUAUACAUAUGCUAUAGGUUUUGCAUCCCCAGAAUUUGUUAGCAUUCAGAGUAUGAUAAAUUGUCCCUGACUGACUUGUGAAAAAUCGUCUCAAGAAGGAUUUUUUUCCCCCCCAGCGGGAAAAUAUGUAGAUGACACACGGUGGUUUAUUGAAACUGUUCUUCAGAUGAACAGCCUGAAGGGAGAGGCAGGUUUUUAGAGGUCACAACAACGGUUAAGAAUUUCGGCUGUGGGGCAGUGUUAUAAUGCUCAUGAAGUCACUUCACUCCUGUACCUCGUGUUCUUCAUCUCUCCAGUAGGUUCCAAACUCAGGGCUUUCUGCAAAAUUCAGAGGGAUCAUACGUGAGCCCUCCCAGGGUUAAGAACCUAAUAAAUCUCAGCUUUUGUAUCAUUAUUA
Non-coding RNA from Callorhinus ursinus (northern fur seal), 3152 nucleotides. The record is from RefSeq and is a predicted model, not a curated record. Lineage: Eukaryota; Metazoa; Chordata; Mammalia; Carnivora; Otariidae.